This 253-nucleotide ribosomal RNA is filed under the name uncultured bacterium. RNAcentral's name for it is "partial 16S ribosomal RNA". It matches the Rfam family "Bacterial small subunit ribosomal RNA", at positions 524 to 776 of the family's 1533-position model. The record is from RNAcentral.
AACGUAGGAGACAAACGUUAUCCGGAGUUACUGGGCGGAAAGGGCGCGUAGGUGGUUUCGUAAGUCUGGCGUGAAAUUUUUCGGCUUAACCGGGAAAGGUCGUCGGAUACUGCGGGACUGGAGGACGGUAGAGGCGUGUGGAAUUCCGGGUGUAGUGGUGAAAUGCGCAGAUAUCAGGAGGAACACCGGUGGCGAAGGCGGGACUCUGGGCCGAUACUGACGCUGAGGAGCGAAAGCGUGGGGAGCAAACAGG